UACGUAGGGUGCAAGCGUUAACCGGAAUUACUGGGCGUAAAGGGUGUGUAGGCGGUCUGUUAAGUCUGGUGUGAAAUCCCCGGGCUCAACCUGGGAACUGCAUUGGAAACUGGCAGACUGGAGUACGUAAGAGGGGGGUAGAAUUCCACGUGUAGCAGUGAAAUGCGUAGAGAUGUGGAGGAAUACCGAUGGCGAAGGCAGCACCCUGGGACGAUACUGACGCUCAUGCACGAAAGCGUGGGGAGCAAACAGG
RNAcentral lists this ribosomal RNA (253 nucleotides) under uncultured bacterium. Its description in RNAcentral is "partial 16S ribosomal RNA". It matches the Rfam family "Bacterial small subunit ribosomal RNA", at positions 524 to 776 of the family's 1533-position model. The record is from RNAcentral.